CGGAACGUGCCUAGUAGUGGGGGAUAACUACUCGAAAGAGUAGCUAAUACCGCAUGAGAUCUAAGGAUGAAAGCAGGGGACCUUUGGGCCUUGCGCUACUAGAGCGGCUGAUGGCAGAUUAGGUAGUUGGUGGGAUAAAAGCUUACCAAGCCGACGAUCUGUAGCUGGUCUGAGAGGACGACCAGCCACACUGGGACUGAGACACGGCCCAGACUCCUACGGGAGGCAGCAGUGGGGAAUUUUGGACAAUGGGCGAAAGCCUGAUCCAGCAAUGCCGCGUGUAGGAUGAAGGCCCUCGGGUUGUAAACUACUUUUGUACGGAACGAAAAGCUCUCUUCUAAUAAAGGAGAGUGAUGACGGUACCGUAAGAAUAAGCACCGGCUAACUACGUGCCAGCAGCCGCGGUAAUACGUAGGGUGCGAGCGUUAAUCGGAAUUACUGGGCGUAAAGCGUGCGCAGGCGGUUAUGUAAGACAGAGGUGAAAUCCCCGGGCUCAACCUGGGAACGGCCUUUGUGACUGCAUAGCUAGAGUACGGUAGAGGGGGAUGGAAUUCCGCGU
This 559-nucleotide ribosomal RNA is filed under the name uncultured bacterium. RNAcentral describes it as "bacterial SSU rRNA". It matches the Rfam family "Bacterial small subunit ribosomal RNA", at positions 119 to 674 of the family's 1533-position model. The record is from RNAcentral.